RNAcentral lists this non-coding RNA (204 nucleotides) under Salipiger profundus. The record is from RNAcentral. Lineage: Bacteria; Pseudomonadati; Pseudomonadota; Alphaproteobacteria; Rhodobacterales; Roseobacteraceae.
GGAAAAUAUCGCCCUGAUGGUGCCGCCCGGAAACGGGUGGCUGAAAAGGGAACGCGGUGCGGGCUGACUGCCCAAUGCCGCGACUGCCCCCGCAACUGUAGGCGGAGAGCGGUUCCGAUACGCACCACUGGACCAAGGGUCCGGGAAGGUUCGGAACAGCGACGACCCGCAAGUCAGGAGACCUGCCAUCUCCGGCGCGGCUUC